AACGUAGGAGGCGAGCGUUAUCCGGAGUUACUGGGCGUAAAGCGUAUGUAGGUGGUUGGUCACGUCCGCUGUGAAAGCUCCCGGCUAAACUGGGAGAGUGCCGCGGAUACGGACUGACUCGAGGGCGGUAGAGGAACGUGGAAUUCCGGGUGUAGUGGUGAAAUGCGUAGAGAUCCGGAGGAACACCAGUGGCGCAGGCGACGUUCUGGGCCGCACCUGACACUGAGAUACGAAGGCAUGGGGAGCGAACGGG
This 253-nucleotide ribosomal RNA is filed under the name uncultured bacterium. RNAcentral's name for it is "partial 16S ribosomal RNA". It matches the Rfam family "Bacterial small subunit ribosomal RNA", at positions 524 to 776 of the family's 1533-position model. The record is from RNAcentral.